This 373-nucleotide ribosomal RNA is filed under the name uncultured bacterium. RNAcentral's name for it is "bacterial SSU rRNA". It matches the Rfam family "Bacterial small subunit ribosomal RNA", at positions 527 to 898 of the family's 1533-position model. The record is from RNAcentral.
GAACCGUCCAAACGUUAUUCGGAAUCACUGGGCUUAAAGGGUGCGUAGGCGGCGCGGAAAGUUGGGUGUGAAAUCCCUCGGCUCAACCGAGGAACUGCGCCCAAAACUACCGUGCUCGAGGGAGAUAGAGGUGAGCGGAACUUAGGGUGGAGCGGUGAAAUGCGUUGAUAUCCUAAGGAACACCGGUGGCGAAAGCGGCUCACUGGAUCUCUUCUGACGCUGAUGCACGAAAGCUAGGGUAGCGAACGGGAUUAGAUACCCCGGUAGUCCUAGCCGUAAACGAUGAGCACUGGAUUGGAGGGUCCUCCAUAGCCUUCCAGUCGCAACGAAAGCGUUAAGUGCUCCGCCUGGGGAGUAUGGUCGCAAGGCUGAA